Molecule: long non-coding RNA, 663 nt
Organism: Mercurialis annua (annual mercury)
Lineage: Eukaryota; Viridiplantae; Streptophyta; Magnoliopsida; Malpighiales; Euphorbiaceae
Exons: 3
Source: RefSeq, a predicted model, not a curated record
UCAGCCGCCACACUCUUUAACAAUCUGAAACUUCAUUAAAUUACAUUCCAACUCCAUUCGAUUCAAGCUCGGUAAGUAUCGUAUUAGUUUCGUUCAUUCUACGCUUUAUCGUCAAAUACGGUUUUUGAUUUCGUAUCUCAUUGUUUAGCUAUAAUCUGAAUUUUCUUCAACGAUUCACAUCAACUCAGCGAUCUCUAUAAUCGUUACGCUUCGGAAUCAUAUAUGACGUACGAACGAGCAGUGAGGGCAUUAGACGCGGACUAGUACGAGCAUACCACCACAUCAACUUCAUUAUAGAGUGGAUAGCGGUCACUGUACUUAGUGUUUGGACCUGGCUAGAAGCUAGUUUUGGGAUCCGGAAGUCAGCCACGUAUGUAUAGUUCUUUGACUUCCGUAGUGCUGCAGUAGUGGUCCUGCGUCGACAAAGUCGUAUCCUAGACAGCAGUAUAUUUUGAUUGUGUAUAUUACUCACUGUCUUGUUUAUAUUUUUGUAGGUUACGUGUUUUAUGUUUUAUUCACGGCACUAGAUGUCGGUGAUACGUUUGGUACACUAACUGAUGUAUAUAGUACCGCGAGGCCGGUUCGUACAGAGUACGGAAACUAGGGUCCGCGAGGUUAACAGAACAGUUAGUGUAAAUAUUUAUGUAUAUAUGUUAUAUAUGU